This 473-nucleotide ribosomal RNA is filed under the name uncultured bacterium. RNAcentral's name for it is "bacterial SSU rRNA". It matches the Rfam family "Bacterial small subunit ribosomal RNA", at positions 355 to 825 of the family's 1533-position model. The record is from RNAcentral.
UGGGGAAUUUUGGACAAUGGGCGCAAGCCUGAUCCAGCCAUGCCGCGUGCAGGAUGAAGGCCUUCGGAUCGUAAACCCCUGUCGAAUGGGACGAAAGACUCGCGAGUGAAUACUUCGCGAGAGUGACGGUACCGUUAAAGGAAGCCACGGCUAACUCUGUGCCAGCAGCCGCGGUAAUACAGAGGUGGCAAGCGUUGUUCGGAAUUACUGGGCGUAAAGGGCGCGUAGGCGGCCCUCUAAGUCAGACGUGAAAUCCCCCGGCUUAACCUGGGAACUGCGUCUGAUACUGGAGGGCUUGAGUAUGGGAGAGGGAUGUAGAAUUCCAGGUGUAGCGGUGAAAUGCGUAGAUAUCUGGAAGAACACCAGUGGCGAAGGCGGCCAACUGGCUCGAUACUGACGCUGAGGUGCGAAAGCGUGGGGAGCAAACAGGAUUAGAUACCCACGUAGUCCCUGAGCGGGCUGGCAAGGCGCAU